This is an RNA transcript of Drosophila subpulchrella, 1235 nucleotides long. RefSeq lists it as uncharacterized. The record is from RefSeq and is a predicted model, not a curated record. NCBI's taxonomy places the organism in Eukaryota, Metazoa, Arthropoda, Insecta, Diptera, Drosophilidae. The transcript is spliced from 3 exons.
CCGUUUUCGAUGUACUAUAUUACCAUAUACAAUAUCCAAUAAAAUAUCGGAACUCACGUGAAAUCAAGAACGUACUAAUUAAACAAACUAUUUCACUUUUCCCCUGUGCAUGUGCGCAUGCCAUUUUCAUCAGCGAAGCAGCGAAAAACAUUUGUUCUGAUCCCUUUUGCCAUGCCAUACUUGUUGGGUAACUUUUAAUACCCGUCGCACAGUGGCGCCAUUGACUUUUAUUUGGAACCGAACCAGACCGCACAAAUCAAGUGGCCCAGCGCAACACAUAAUGGUCAUUUGGCGUUCAAUGCGGCGUCGCCAGCUCCACCAACAACAUUUUCAAUAGGAAUUGGAAAGAGUUAAAGGGAGUUAGAGUGCUGAAUUAAUGCUUACGGAGAGGUGCGUCGAAAGGCAGCUCAAUGAAUUUGCAAUCCGGUUACGGCCAAGUGAAGUGUUAACGAUUCAAUAUUGCUGCCAAUUGGGUCAUACAGAAAUAAGAAUACAACAUUAGUGCAACGUUUAAAUUAUUCUCUAUCAAAAUAUCAAAACUCCCUUCCUUAGCCCCUCCCAUUUCCGUUUGCACUUUGGACACAAUCCACUAAAGGAGCGAAAAGAGAGCGGCUGCGAAAGAGUCGGAAGUGGCUUUCUUCGAUGCCUUCCUGUCGGAAGCUCAGGGGAAUUUUCUGAAGCGGGGCCAUCGAUGGUGAAGGGGGCUGGAAGGGUGUCUUCAGGGAGCUGAGGGUGGCUUGAGAAAGCUUCAGUUUCCUCCAUCAGCAGAUCACAUAAUGGCAACAAUAAGGAAAUCGCAUGUGCAAAGGCCGCAGGCAUCUAAAUUGAGGAAAGGGGCCUAAAAAGUGGAGAAACGGGUGUGGGAGUGAGAAGAAUGGGAAAAAUGGGGUAGACGAAUUCCCGGCUUGCCGGCUGUUGCGUUGUCGUCAAAUGUUUAUGAACAGUAAGUCGCGUUACACAGCUUUGCGAUGGGCAGGCAACCGGAAGAGGUAAACGACGGGGAAAGUGAGGAAGUCGCGGGAAAAUGGCAAAGGAUGUUUGGCUGGAGGGACUGCCGCUCUUCGCCGAGCAAUUUUGAAGGCGUUGAAUUCAGGCGUCAAAGUCAAACUCAGAUUCCACAAACUACUUCAUAUUUUUCUUGUAUACAUUUUUGAUACCAUACUUGUGGAUAAUGCGAUUUAGCUUAUGCCUGGAAGUCCGGAAAGUAUAUGCAUUGUAUUCGAACGUGAAGUCUU